Molecule: ribosomal RNA, 439 nt
Filed under: uncultured bacterium
Lineage: Bacteria
Description: partial 16S ribosomal RNA
Rfam family: Bacterial small subunit ribosomal RNA
Source: RNAcentral
CUACGGGCGGCUGCAGUGAGGAAUAUUGCACAAUGGAGGAAACUCUGAUGCAGCAACGCCGCGUGGAGGAUGACGCAUUUCGGUGUGUAAACUCCUUUUAUAUGUCAAGAAAAUGACGGUAGCAUAUGAAUAAGCACCGGCUAACUCCGUGCCAGCAGCCGCGGUAAUACGGAGGGUGCAAGCGUUACUCGGAAUCACUGGGCGUAAAGGACGCGUAGGCGGGAUAUCAAGUCAGGUGUGAAAUCCUACAGCUUAACUGUAGAACUGCACUUGAAACUGGUAACCUAGAGUAUGGGAGGGGGAGAUGGAAUUAGUGGUGUAGGGGUAAAAUCCGUAGAUAUCACUAGGAAUACCUAAAGCGAAGGCGAUCUCCUGGAACAUAACUGACGCUAAGGCGUGAAAGCGUGGGGAGCAAACAGGAUUAGAUACCCGCGUAGUC